CCCCCCCCCCCCCUCCAGAAAGUAAAUAUUGAACAAACAGUUUGUAAAUCAACAAAUUAGUUGUAAAACAAGAUGUCAAUCUACAGGGAAGCACAACAUUUAAAACAUGAAAUAUAAGAUGACGCAAAUAAAAGUUCAUUAAAAGUAUAAUUACUAUUUUUUCUGUUGCUUGAAAUGUAUUUGAAAAUUAUGAAAAUAGAUGUAAGAUAUAUACAUUCAACCAAUUGGCAUUGCAGAAGGAGAAAUUGGCAUCUUGAUGGAGACAGUUUGCUGCCGAAUGCGGCAGACUGUACAUGAUGAUCUACCACAGUAUAAUUGUAGUACUGCACAAUGGAUUUAAACAUGAUAUUCCAACAUCAACAGUCAUGGGGAUCCAAGUCAAACCUUCCAUUAAUCUCUAGGACAAGAACAAAAUUGUAUAGAAAUCUUAAAAAAAACUGAAAACUUUAAAAAUAAAACUUCUUCACAAUCAUAUUUUGAAUUUCUGGUAUUUCAAUAUCACAAAAGAAUUAAGAAUCACCCGAAAUACAUUUUAAAAAAUGUUUUUUUUCAAAACUUCAAUUAAAAAAAGAUUUUUAUGUAAUAAAAUUGCAUCACAGGUGAAUGUCUUUGAAACAAGAGUAAGAAAAGUAAAAAAAAAAAAGUAAUGCCAUUAAAUUGUAACAUCUGGGGAAGGGGGGUGGGGGGAAUUCAGUUCCAGUAUGUUUGUCAUUAA
This is a non-coding RNA of Biomphalaria pfeifferi, 715 nucleotides long. Lineage: Eukaryota; Metazoa; Mollusca; Gastropoda; Planorbidae. The record is from the annotation of a GenBank genome assembly.